GGGUAGGUUGAGUAAUUGGCUACUCCGAGCACUGUAAAUGCUCCGCCUUCGGGCAUUGUAGGUUCGAAUCCUACCCUACCCUACA
This 85-nucleotide transfer RNA is filed under the name bacterium. RNAcentral describes it as "tRNA-Tyr". It matches the Rfam family "tRNA". From Rfam's summary of the family: Transfer RNA (tRNA) molecules are approximately 80 nucleotides in length. The record is from RNAcentral.